AUGGGGACGCGGGAGGUGUACGAGGAGAAGCUCCGCAGCGGCGCGCACCUCCACCGCGACCCCACCAUCAACCCCGGCCUCGGCUCCGCCCGCUGCCCCCGCUGCCUCUCCCUCCUCAACCCCGCCACCAGCUCCGUACGUACUCCCCAACCCCCCUCCCUUCCUCCCCCGAUUCCUCCUCCUNNNNNNNNNNUUAAUUUCUACGGGCGCCUGCCCGAGAUCCGCAAUUGGGGAGAUUCGUCGCUAACUUGUGUGCUUGCUUCCUGCCUGUCCUGUUGCUGCAGACUGGUUCCGGCGCCGGCGCGAUGCUCAGUGCGGUGCACGGGUUCAAUACAGAAGCAUGUGAAGGGCCCCAAGUGGCUGCACUUACUCGUUGGGGUCCCUCCUUUGGUCUUAUUCUCUGGUGCCAGUGCUUUAUUUGGGGCUUACGCGCUCCCAACGUUUGCUCAGCUCACUGUGACAUCCUAUUAUGCUGCAUCAAGUGCCUCUCACUACGCAAUUUCACAGAUCACCCGCCAGAUCGAGAAGGCCCAUUUGUCAGGCGCCGAGGAGAAAUCUUGA
RNAcentral lists this ribosomal RNA (561 nucleotides) under Triticum aestivum (bread wheat). Its description in RNAcentral is "partial small subunit ribosomal RNA". The record is from RNAcentral. Lineage: Eukaryota; Viridiplantae; Streptophyta; Magnoliopsida; Poales; Poaceae.